GAUGAACGCUGGCGGCGUGCCUAAUACAUGCCAGUCGAGCGAACAGACGAGGAGCUUGCUCCUCUGACGUUAGCGGCGGACGGGUGAGUAACACGUGGAUAACCUACCUAUAAGACUGGGAUAACUUCGGGAAACCGGAGCUAAUACCGGAUAAUAUAUUGAACCGCAUGGUUCAAUAGUGGAAGACGGUUUUGCUGUCACUUAUAGAUGGAUCCGCGCCGCAUUAGCUAGUUGGUAAGGUAACGGCUUACCAAGGCAACGAUGCGUAGCCGACCUGAGAGGGUGAUCGGCCACACUGGAACUGAGACACGGUCCAGACUCCUACGGGAGGCAGCAGUAGGGAAUCUGCCGCAAUGGGCGAAAGCCUGACGGAGCAACGCCGCGUGAGUGAUGAAGGUCUUCGGAUCGUAAAACUCUGUUAUUAGGGAAGAACAAAUGUGUAAGUAACUAUGCACGUCUUGACGGUACCUAAUCAGAAAGCCACGGCUAACUACGUG
This 497-nucleotide ribosomal RNA is filed under the name uncultured bacterium. Its description in RNAcentral is "partial 16S ribosomal RNA". It matches the Rfam family "Bacterial small subunit ribosomal RNA", at positions 28 to 507 of the family's 1533-position model. The record is from RNAcentral.